GACAGGUAUUGGAGUGGUACAAUUCAUGACAGGCUGGGUAUCUAAUACUAUGAAGUCGACUGGAAAGUAGAAUUUAUCAAUUUGGACAAGUACAUCCUCGACUACUCCUCUUGGUAUCUUUAUAGAUCGAUCGGCAAGUUGGAGAGUAACCUUGGUGGGUUUUAAUUCACCAAGUCCUAACUGUUCAUAAACUGAAUAGGGCAGUA
RNAcentral lists this long non-coding RNA (206 nucleotides) under Phoenix dactylifera (date palm). RNAcentral describes it as "long non-coding RNA (PDAC_LNC011527)". Lineage: Eukaryota; Viridiplantae; Streptophyta; Magnoliopsida; Arecales; Arecaceae. The record is from RNAcentral.